UACUCCUACGGGAGGCAGCAGUGGGGAAUAUUGGACAAUGGGCGAAAGCCUGAUCCAGCCAUGCCGCGUGUGUGAAGAAGGUCUUCGGAUUGUAAAGCACUUUAAGUUGGGAGGAAGGGCAGUAACUUUAAUACCUUGUUGUAUGACGUACC
Molecule: ribosomal RNA, 152 nt
Filed under: uncultured Pseudomonas sp.
Lineage: Bacteria; Pseudomonadati; Pseudomonadota; Gammaproteobacteria; Pseudomonadales; Pseudomonadaceae
Description: partial 16S ribosomal RNA
Rfam family: Bacterial small subunit ribosomal RNA
Source: RNAcentral